This 425-nucleotide ribosomal RNA is filed under the name uncultured archaeon. RNAcentral describes it as "partial 16S ribosomal RNA". It matches the Rfam family "Archaeal small subunit ribosomal RNA", at positions 323 to 746 of the family's 1478-position model. The record is from RNAcentral.
CUACGGGCGGCUGCAGUCGCGGAACUUUUACAAUGCACGCAAGUGUGAUAAAGCGAACCAAAGUGCUAUUCUUUUUGAAUAGCUUUUUCUUAGUGUAAAAAACUAGGAGAAUAAGGACUGGGAAAGACUGGUGCCAGCCGCCGCGGUAAUACCAGCAGUUCAAGUUGCAUCCAUUUUUAUUGGGUCUAAAACAUCCGUAGCUUGUUACUUAAGUCUUUUGUGAAAUCCUACGUCUCAAGCGUGGCGAAGUGCAGAAGAUACUGGGUAACUAGAGAUCGGUAGACGUAAGGAGUACACCGGGGGUAGCGGUUAAAUGUGUUAAUCCUCGGUGGACUAACGAUUUAGCGAAGGCACCUUACGAGGACGAAUCUGACAGUGAGGGAUGAAGGCCAGGGGCGCAAAACGGAUUAGAUACCCGUGUAGUC